This 332-nucleotide unclassified non-coding RNA is filed under the name Hevea brasiliensis (rubber tree). The record is from RNAcentral. Lineage: Eukaryota; Viridiplantae; Streptophyta; Magnoliopsida; Malpighiales; Euphorbiaceae.
GAGAGCUUAAUAGUGUUUCAUGCAAAUAUAAUAAUUCAUUUCAUAACUUUAAAAAUAUUUUAUCCUUCAAAGCAAGGUAGUGUUAUGGUUGCUUUAUGGUGAUGGCUUGAAAAUUGCAAAUUAAAGCACCUUUUUUUUUUAACAUAUAUUUUGCAAAUGCCAAGUCAAUGGAUCUUCUUAAGUUCUUAACAAUGGAAGCAUAUAAAGAAAAAGUUUAUAAUUGGAGCCUUUCUCAGUUGGUAGCAGCUAAUCUAAAAAUGAAUACUGGAAUUAAAAGACAAAUAAAUGUUAAAAGUUUCUUUCUGUACUGCCCACUGUAGUACCAGUCUGAC